CCUACGGGCGGCAGCAGUAGGGAAUCUUCCACAAUGGGCGAAAGCCUGAUGGAGCAACGCCGCGUGGGUGAAGAAGGUCUUCGGAUCGUAAAACCAUGUUGUUAGAGAAGAAAGUGCGUGAGAGUAACUGUUCACGUUUCGACGGUAUCUAACCAGAAAGCCACGGCUAACUACGUGCCAGCAGCCGCGGUAAUACGUAGGUGGCAAGCGUUAUCCGGAUUGAUGGGGCGUAAAGGGAACGCAGGGGGUCUUUUAAGUCUGAUGUGAAAGCCUUCGGCUUAACCGGAGUAGUGCAUUGGAAACUGGGAGACUUGAGUGCAGAAGAGGAGAGUGGAACUCCAAGUGUAGCGGUGAAAUGCGUAGAUAUAUGGAAGAACACCAGUGGCGAAAGCGGCCCUCUGGGCUGUUACUGACGCUGAGGUUCGAAAGCGUGGGUAGCAAACAGGAUUAGAUACCCCUGUAGUC
RNAcentral lists this ribosomal RNA (465 nucleotides) under uncultured bacterium. RNAcentral's name for it is "partial 16S ribosomal RNA". It matches the Rfam family "Bacterial small subunit ribosomal RNA", at positions 338 to 795 of the family's 1533-position model. The record is from RNAcentral.